CGGCCACCAUGCCGCUGCAUGCGAGCCAGAUGCUGAGCCGCAACAUCCUGACCCUACUGCAGCACCUCAUCAAGGAGGGCGUGCUCGUCGUCAGCAUGGACGACGAGAUCACGGGCCCGAUGUGCCUGGUCCAUGCCGGCCAGGUCAGAUGAGCCGCCACUGGGAGAGUCGUUCAUGACCACCGAAGCGCUAAUCAUUGCCAUUGUCAUUUUCACCCUCUCGACGUUUCUUGGCGUCGAGCUGAUCGGACGCGUCCCGCCGACGCUUCAUACCCCGCUGAUGUCCGGCGCGAACGCCGUCAGCGGCAUCACGGUCGUGGGCGCGUUGAUCAUCGCGGGCAGCGACCUUGGGUGGCUGUCGACCUAUCUCGGCUUCGUCGCCAUUGUGCUGGCGAUGAUGAACGUGGUGGGUGGCUACGCGGUGACCGACCGGAUGCUGGGCAUGUUCAAGUCCGGGCCCGGGGAGAAACGCUGAUGCCCGGCUGGCUGAACCAGCUUCUCUACCUCGUCUCGGCCGUUCUCUUCAUCAUCGGCCUCAAGCGCCUGGGCAGCCCCGCCACGGCGCGACAGGGCAACAUGAUCUCCGGCGUGGGGAUGCUGAUCGCGAUCCUCGUCACGCUCGUCGAUCACGCCAUCGUGUCCUAUGGCGUGAUCGUUGCGGGCAUGGUGGUGGGCACCGCGCUGGGCCUCUGGCAGGCCUAUGCCGUGAAAAUGACCGCGAUGCCGCAAAUGGUGGCGCUGCUCAACGGCUUUGGCGGUGGCGCAUCAAUGGUCGUCGGCGCGGCCGAGUUCUUACGGGCAUUCGAGGCCGGCACGAACAUCCCGACGCCGACGGGCACCGUCAUGCAGCUCAGCUUGAUCAUCGGUGCGGUGACACUCACCGGCAGCCUCGUGGCGUUCGCAAAGCUGCAGGAGUUGAUGUCGGGCAAACCCAUCACGUUUCCGGGCCAGAACGCCUCGAACCUGAUCGUGUUCCUCGCCGUGCUGGCGCUGGCGGGUUGGCAGAUUUCAAC
This 1012-nucleotide unclassified non-coding RNA is filed under the name uncultured fungus. Its description in RNAcentral is "sequence contains 18S rRNA gene, ITS1, 5.8S rRNA gene, ITS2, 28S rRNA gene". Lineage: Eukaryota; Fungi. The record is from RNAcentral.